This 423-nucleotide ribosomal RNA is filed under the name uncultured bacterium. RNAcentral describes it as "bacterial SSU rRNA". It matches the Rfam family "Bacterial small subunit ribosomal RNA", at positions 80 to 518 of the family's 1533-position model. The record is from RNAcentral.
UUGCUCCAGUGGAAAGUGGCGGACGGGUGAGUAAUGUAGUGAAAAUCUGCCCUAGAGAGGGGGACAACAGAGGGAAACUUCUGCUAAUACCCCAUAUGAGCUUGGUUGAAAUACCCAAUCUUGGAAAAACUCCCGGGUGCUCUAGGAUGAGUCUGCAUCUGAUUAGCUAGUUGGUGGUGUAAUGGACUACCAAGGCGACGAUCAGUAGCUGGUUUGAGAGGAUGAUCAGCCACAAUGGGACUGAGACACGGCCCAUACUCCUACGGGAGGCAGCAGUAGGGAAUUUUGCGCAAUGGGGGAAACCCUGACGCAGCAACACCGCGUGAACGUUAGGCCCUUCGGGGUAUAAAGUUCUGUCACUGGGGAAGAAUAAAUGACUGUACCCAGAGAGGAAGCACCGGCUAACUCCGUGCCAGCAGCCGC